This 85-nucleotide transfer RNA is filed under the name Alphaproteobacteria bacterium. Its description in RNAcentral is "tRNA-Leu". It matches the Rfam family "tRNA". From Rfam's summary of the family: Transfer RNA (tRNA) molecules are approximately 80 nucleotides in length. Their secondary structure includes four short double-helical elements and three loops (D, anti-codon, and T loops). Lineage: Bacteria; Pseudomonadati; Pseudomonadota; Alphaproteobacteria. The record is from RNAcentral.
GCGGGCGUGGUGAAAUUGGCAGACACGCAGGAUUUAGGUUCCUGUGGGGAAACUCGUGGGGGUUCAAGUCCCUCCGCCCGCACCA